This is a non-coding RNA of Oryza sativa Japonica Group (Japanese rice), 343 nucleotides long. The record is from RefSeq and is a predicted model, not a curated record. Lineage: Eukaryota; Viridiplantae; Streptophyta; Magnoliopsida; Poales; Poaceae.
GACAUGGUACAGGUCUGCAACUCCAAGAACAGCAUUGACAUUGCCAUAUUGGCAAUGCCAUUGUGCAAGUCUAGGACGCUAAUCAAGAGAAGAGGCUAAAUGAUUCUUCCCAAGAACAAUUCUGUACACUAACAUUGACAGGGCGAAAUGGUAGUCACAUUGUGAAAAGGGAGUAAAAAAAAAUAAUCAAGUUUACUGACCUUGGAACCCCUUGCCGAUGGACUUGCCGGAGAUGUCGACGAGGUCGCCCUCCUUGAACAUGUCGGCGAAGUCGAGCGGCUGGCCGGGGUCGUACCCGUCGACGGACUGGAGGCGGAACUCCUGCAGGUGGCGGAGCGGCGGC